RNAcentral lists this ribosomal RNA (489 nucleotides) under uncultured bacterium. Its description in RNAcentral is "bacterial SSU rRNA". It matches the Rfam family "Bacterial small subunit ribosomal RNA", at positions 32 to 524 of the family's 1533-position model. The record is from RNAcentral.
AAUCAACGCUGGCGGCGUGCCUAACACAUGCAAGUCGAACGCGAAAGGGGACUUCGGUUCCUGAGUAGAGUGGCGUACGGGUGAGUAACGCGUGGGUCAUCUGCCCUCGGGUGGGGAAUAACUAAUCGAAAGGUUAGCUAAUACCGCAUAACACAGUGAUGUCAAAGCAGCAAUGUGCCUGAGGAGGAGCCUGCGUCUGAUUAGGUAGUUGGUGGGGUAACGGCCUACCAAGCCUGCGAUCAGUAGCUGGUCUGAGAGGACGGCCAGCCACACUGGCACUGACACACGGGCCAGACUCCUACGGGAGGCAGCAGUGGGGAAUUUUGGGCAAUGGGCGAAAGCCUGACCCAGCAACGCCGCGUGAGGGAGGAAAUCCUUCGGGAUGUAAACCUCACAAGCAAGGGAAGAGAGCUCAGGGCCGAAUAAGCUUUGAGUCCGACGGUACCUUGCGUAAGCCACGGCUAACUACGUGCCAGCAGCCGCUGUAAU